CCUACGGGAGGCAGCAGUGGGGAAUCUUGCGCAAUGGGCGAAAGCCUGACGCAGCCAUGCCGCGUGUAUGAUGAAGGUCUUAGGAUUGUAAAAUACUUUCACCGGUGAAGAUAAUGACUGUAGCCGGAGAAGAAGCCCCGGCUAACUUCGUGCCAGCAGCCGCGGUAAUACGAAGGGGGCUAGCGUUGCUCGGAAUUACUGGGCGUAAAGGGAGCGUAGGCGGACAUUUAAGUCAGAGGUGAAAUCCCGGAGCUUAACUUCGGAACUGCCUUUGAUACUGGGUGUCUUGAGUGUGAGAGAGGUAUGUGGAACUCCGAGUGUAGAGGUGAAAUUCGUAGAUAUUCGGAAGAACACCAGUGGCGAAGGCGACAUACUGGCUCAUUACUGACGCUGAGGCUCGAAAGCGUGGGGAGCAAACAGGAUUAGAUACCCUGGUAGUCCACGCCGUAAACGAUGAUUGCUAGUUGUCGGGAAGCUUGCUUCUCGGUGACGCAGCUAACGCAUUAAGCAAUCCGCCUGGGGAGUACGGUCGCAAGNUUAAAACUUAAAGGAAUUGACGG
RNAcentral lists this ribosomal RNA (560 nucleotides) under uncultured bacterium. RNAcentral describes it as "bacterial SSU rRNA". It matches the Rfam family "Bacterial small subunit ribosomal RNA", at positions 338 to 916 of the family's 1533-position model. The record is from RNAcentral.